RNAcentral lists this transfer RNA (77 nucleotides) under Niastella vici. Its description in RNAcentral is "tRNA-Arg". It matches the Rfam family "tRNA". From Rfam's summary of the family: Transfer RNA (tRNA) molecules are approximately 80 nucleotides in length. Their secondary structure includes four short double-helical elements and three loops (D, anti-codon, and T loops). Lineage: Bacteria; Pseudomonadati; Bacteroidota; Chitinophagia; Chitinophagales; Chitinophagaceae. The record is from RNAcentral.
GGACCGGUAGCUCAGUUGGAUAGAGCAGCUGCCUUCUAAGCAGCAGGUCAUUGGUUCGAAUCCAAUCCGGUUCACGA